AUUUGAAACAACUUCUCUUAGCUUGAAUUUUCUUAUCUUCAACAUGAGGCAUAAUGAUUGCGUCUACCAUAUUAAAUAUUGAUACUAAUUCAAUCAGUUUACAUUUAUAAAAUGAUCAGAAGAUAGCCAGGCAUGGUGACACACACCUUUAAUCCCAAGA
Molecule: non-coding RNA, 160 nt
Organism: Peromyscus maniculatus bairdii (prairie deer mouse)
Lineage: Eukaryota; Metazoa; Chordata; Mammalia; Rodentia; Cricetidae
Source: RefSeq, a predicted model, not a curated record